AGCAGCCGCGGUAAUUCCAGCUCCAAUAGCGUAUAUUAAAGUUGUUGCAGUUAAAAAGCUCGUAGUUGAAUUUCGGGGUUAGUAGGUUGGUCAUGCCUCUGGUAUGUACUGGUCUCACUGAUUCCUCCUUCCUGAUGAGCCGUAAUGCCAUUAAUUUGGUGUUGCGGGGAAUUUGGACUGUUACUUUGAAAAAUUAGAGUGUUUAAAGCAAGCUAACGCUUGAAUACAUUAGCAUGGAAUAAUGAAAUAGGACGUUUGAUUCUAUUUUGUUGGUUUCUAGGAUCGACGUAAUGAUUAAUAGGGAUAGUUGGGGGCAUUAGUAUUCAAUUGUCAGAGGUGAAAUUCUUGGAUUUAUUGAAGACUAACUACUGCGAAAGCAUUUGCCAAGGAUGUUUUCAUUAAUCAAGAACGAAAGUUAGGGGAUCGAAGACGAUCAGAUACCGUCGUAGUCUUAACCAUAAACUAUGCCGACUAGGGAUCGGAUGAUGUUAAUUUUUAAUGACUCA
RNAcentral lists this ribosomal RNA (506 nucleotides) under uncultured Glomeraceae. RNAcentral describes it as "SSU rRNA". It matches the Rfam family "Eukaryotic small subunit ribosomal RNA", at positions 569 to 1078 of the family's 1831-position model. The record is from RNAcentral. Lineage: Eukaryota; Fungi; Glomeromycota; Glomeromycetes; Glomerales; Glomeraceae.